UACGGAGGAUCCGAGCGUUAUCCGGAUUUAUUGGGUUUAAAGGGUGCGCAGGCGGAAUAUUAAGUCAGCGGUGAAAGUUUGCAGCUUAACUGUAAAAUUGCCGUUGAAACUGGUUUUCUUGAGUGUAUAUGAAGUAGGCGGAAUUUGUGGUGUAGCGGUGAAAUGCAUAGAUAUCACAAGGAACUCCGAUUGCGAAGGCAGCUCACUAAAAUACAACUGACGCUCAGGCACGAAGGCGUGGGGAUCAAACAGGAUUAGAUACCCUGGUA
Molecule: ribosomal RNA, 269 nt
Filed under: uncultured prokaryote
Description: partial 16S ribosomal RNA
Rfam family: Bacterial small subunit ribosomal RNA
Source: RNAcentral